RNAcentral lists this ribosomal RNA (198 nucleotides) under uncultured bacterium. RNAcentral describes it as "partial 16S ribosomal RNA". It matches the Rfam family "Bacterial small subunit ribosomal RNA", at positions 1303 to 1500 of the family's 1533-position model. The record is from RNAcentral.
GCCUGCAACUCGGCUGCAUGAAGCUGGAAUCGCUAGUAAUCGCAGAUCAGAAUGCUGCGGUGAAUACGUUCCCGGGUCUUGUACACACCGCCCGUCACACCAUGGGAGUUGGGAAUGCCCGAAGUCAGUGACCCAACCGCAAGGAGGGAGCUGCCGAAGGCAGGCUUGAUAACUGGGGUGAAGUCGUAACAAGGUACC